This 1522-nucleotide ribosomal RNA is filed under the name Escherichia coli. Its description in RNAcentral is "partial 23S ribosomal RNA". It matches the Rfam family "Bacterial large subunit ribosomal RNA", at positions 1291 to 2798 of the family's 2925-position model. RNAcentral also lists the same sequence under 1 other name. Lineage: Bacteria; Pseudomonadati; Pseudomonadota; Gammaproteobacteria; Enterobacterales; Enterobacteriaceae. The record is from RNAcentral.
CGAAUGCUGACAUAAGUAACGAUAAAGCGGGUGAAAAGCCCGCUCGCCGGAAGACCAAGGGUUCCUGUCCAACGUUAAUCGGGGCAGGGUGAGUCGACCCCUAAGGCGAGGCCGAAAGGCGUAGUCGAUGGGAAACAGGUUAAUAUUCCUGUACUUGGUGUUACUGCGAAGGGGGGACGGAGAAGGCUAUGUUGGCCGGGCGACGGUUGUCCCGGUUUAAGCGUGUAGGCUGGUUUUCCAGGCAAAUCCGGAAAAUCAAGGCUGAGGCGUGAUGACGAGGCACUACGGUGCUGAAGCAACAAAUGCCCUGCUUCCAGGAAAAGCCUCUAAGCAUCAGGUAACAUCAAAUCGUACCCCAAACCGACACAGGUGGUCAGGUAGAGAAUACCAAGGCGCUUGAGAGAACUCGGGUGAAGGAACUAGGCAAAAUGGUGCCGUAACUUCGGGAGAAGGCACGCUGAUAUGUAGGUGAAGUCCCUCGCGGAUGGAGCUGAAAUCAGUCGAAGAUACCAGCUGGCUGCAACUGUUUAUUAAAAACACAGCACUGUGCAAACACGAAAGUGGACGUAUACGGUGUGACGCCUGCCCGGUGCCGGAAGGUUAAUUGAUGGGGUCAGCGCAAGCGAAGCUCUUGAUCGAAGCCCCGGUAAACGGCGGCCGUAACUAUAACGGUCCUAAGGUAGCGAAAUUCCUUGUCGGGUAAGUUCCGACCUGCACGAAUGGCGUAAUGAUGGCCAGGCUGUCUCCACCCGAGACUCAGUGAAAUUGAACUCGCUGUGAAGAUGCAGUGUACCCGCGGCAAGACGGAAAGACCCCGUGAACCUUUACUAUAGCUUGACACUGAACAUUGAGCCUUGAUGUGUAGGAUAGGUGGGAGGCUUUGAAGUGUGGACGCCAGUCUGCAUGGAGCCGACCUUGAAAUACCACCCUUUAAUGUUUGAUGUUCUAACGUUGACCCGUGAUCCGGGUUGCGGACAGUGUCUGGUGGGUAGUUUGACUGGGGCGGUCUCCUCCUAAAGAGUAACGGAGGAGCACGAAGGUUGGCUAAUCCUGGUCGGACAUCAGGAGGUUAGUGCAAUGGCAUAAGCCAGCUUGACUGCGAGCGUGACGGCGCGAGCAGGUGCGAAAGCAGGUCAUAGUGAUCCGGUGGUUCUGAAUGGAAGGGCCAUCGCUCAACGGAUAAAAGGUACUCCGGGGAUAACAGGCUGAUACCGCCCAAGAGUUCAUAUCGACGGCGGUGUUUGGCACCUCGAUGUCGGCUCAUCACAUCCUGGGGCUGAAGUAGGUCCCAAGGGUAUGGCUGUUCGCCAUUUAAAGUGGUACGCGAGCUGGGUUUAGAACGUCGUGAGACAGUUCGGUCCCUAUCUGCCGUGGGCGCUGGAGAACUGAGGGGGGCUGCUCCUAGUACGAGAGGACCGGAGUGGACGCAUCACUGGUGUUCGGGUUGUCAUGCCAAUGGCACUGCCCGGUAGCUAAAUGCGGAAGAGAUAAGUGCUGAAAGCAUCUAAGCACGAAACUUGCC